AUUGAACGCUGGCGGCAGGCCUAACACAUGCAAGUCGAGCGGAGCGGCGGACGGGGGAGUAAUGCCUAGGAAUGUGCCUGGUAGUGGGGGAUAACGUCCGGAAACGGUCGCUAAUACCGCAUACUAUCAGAUGAGCCUAGGUGGGAUUAGCUAGUUUGUGGGGUAAAGGCCUACCCAGGCGACGAUCCGUAACUGGUCUGAGAGGAGGAUCAGUCCCACCGGAACUGAGACACGGUCCAGACUCCUACGGGAGGCAGGAGGGGGGAAUAUUGGACAAUUGGCGGAAGCCUGAUCCAGCCCAGCCGCGUGGGGUAAAAAGGGUUUCGGAUGGUAAAGGACUUUUAGUUUGGAAGCGUUACCAAAAGAAUAAGCACCGGCUAACUUCGUGCCAGCCGCCGCGGUAAUAC
Molecule: ribosomal RNA, 407 nt
Filed under: uncultured bacterium
Lineage: Bacteria
Description: partial 16S ribosomal RNA
Rfam family: Bacterial small subunit ribosomal RNA
Source: RNAcentral